UACGUAUGGUGCAAGCGUUAUCCGGAUUUACUGGGUGUAAAGGGAGCGUAGGCGGCGCGUUAAGUCUGAUGUGAAAACCCGAGGCUCAACCACGGGAGUGCAUUGGAAACUGGCGAGCUGGAGUGCCGGAGAGGUAAGCGGAAUUCCUAGUGUAGCGGUGAAAUGCGUAGAUAUUAGGAGGAACACCAGUGGCGGAGGCGGCUUACUGGACGGCAACUGACGCUGAGGCUCGAAAGCGUGGGGAGCAAACAGG
RNAcentral lists this ribosomal RNA (253 nucleotides) under uncultured bacterium. RNAcentral describes it as "partial 16S ribosomal RNA". It matches the Rfam family "Bacterial small subunit ribosomal RNA", at positions 524 to 776 of the family's 1533-position model. The record is from RNAcentral.